Molecule: long non-coding RNA, 690 nt
Filed under: Setaria viridis
Lineage: Eukaryota; Viridiplantae; Streptophyta; Magnoliopsida; Poales; Poaceae
Description: long non-coding RNA (SVIR_LNC001167)
Source: RNAcentral
CACGGUGUAAGGAAUGCUGCCAAUUAAUAAUGGUGUAAGUAGAUCAUAAGGCCCGGAGGAAUGGAGAGGCCGACAGACACUUUUAAGGAGACACACAACCUGGUGGUGGCAAUGGAGGACACCUACGUGGGUGGCCUCGUCUCCAACCUCCAGGUGGCGGAGCUCAUCGGAUGCAUGGCCAACAAUAGGAGGGCGGCCUACUGCAAGGUGGUGGAGGUGAUCGCCGAGACAACCGCGCCGCUGCUGCCAAUGGAGCAGCUCCUCGCCGCCAUCCCUUCCAAGAGGGUAUGUAAUACUCCCUAUAUUCUCUUUUGACGUAGGGAUAUUUCACCUUGACACAAUGAUAAGAAACACAACCAAGCUUAUCAUUUAAUAAAUGUAAAUAAGCCUUUUCUCAUUAGUCCUCCAAUGCUUUCCCUUAAUGACUUCUCGUUAUCUAUGUAAUUUAUUGCCGCGAUCCACAUCAAUGACAAAACCCUAUAAAAAAUAUCCCUCUAAAAAAGAAAAGACUAUUAAGGACGUUUUUUUAUCAGAAGCAUGUGAAUAAAUCAAACCAAACCUAACGAAACCACUCGCAGGAACCCCCCGCCGAGGACGAAACGGAGAAGGUGAAGUCAAUAGCCAAUGGGUGAGCCAAAGCCAGACCCUCCAGCAGAGAGCCGGCGAAAGCAGAGCGACCACUCUCACCGU